CCCAGUAAACGGCGGCCGUAACUAUAACGGUCCUAAGGUAGCGAAAUUCCUUGUCGGGUAAGUUCCGACCCGCACGAAAGGCGUAACGAUUUGGGCACUGUCUCAACGAGAGACUCGGUGAAAUCAUAGUACCUGUGAAGAUGCAGGUUACCCGCGACAGGACGGAAAGACCCCGUGGAGCUUUACUGUAGCCUGAUAUUGAAAUUCGGCACAGCUUGUACAGGAUAGGUAGGAGCCUUUGAAACGUGAGCGCUAGCUUACGUGGAGGCGCUGGUGG
RNAcentral lists this ribosomal RNA (277 nucleotides) under Staphylococcus aureus. RNAcentral's name for it is "partial 23S ribosomal RNA". It matches the Rfam family "Bacterial large subunit ribosomal RNA", at positions 1919 to 2195 of the family's 2925-position model. Lineage: Bacteria; Bacillati; Bacillota; Bacilli; Caryophanales; Staphylococcaceae. The record is from RNAcentral.